RNAcentral lists this ribosomal RNA (384 nucleotides) under Karenia sp. (in: dinoflagellates). RNAcentral describes it as "SSU rRNA". It matches the Rfam family "Eukaryotic small subunit ribosomal RNA", at positions 587 to 975 of the family's 1831-position model. RNAcentral also lists the same sequence under 1 other name. The record is from RNAcentral. Lineage: Eukaryota; Dinophyceae; Gymnodiniales; Kareniaceae.
AGCUCCAAUAGCGUAUAUUAAAGUUGUUGCGGUUAAAAAGCUCGUAGUUGGAUUUCUGCCGAGGACGACCGGUCCGCCCUCUGGGUGAGUAUCUGGCUCGGCUUGGGCAUCUUCUUGGAGAACGUAGCUGCACUUGACUGUGUGGUGCGGUAUCCAGGACUUUUACUUUGAGGAAAUUAGAGUGUUUCAAGCAGGCAUACGCCUUGAAUACAUUAGCAUGGAAUAAUAAGAUAGGACCUCGGUUCUAUUUUGUUGGUUUCUAGAGCUGAGGUAAUGAUUAAUAGGGAUAGUUGGGGGCAUUCGUAUUUAACUGUCAGAGGUGAAAUUCUUGGAUUUGUUAAAGACGGACUACUGUGAAAGCAUUUGCCAAGGAUGUUUUCAUUG